This 429-nucleotide ribosomal RNA is filed under the name Gemmatimonadota bacterium. RNAcentral describes it as "Gemmatimonadetes bacterium partial 16S ribosomal RNA". It matches the Rfam family "Bacterial small subunit ribosomal RNA", at positions 355 to 776 of the family's 1533-position model. Lineage: Bacteria; Pseudomonadati; Gemmatimonadota. The record is from RNAcentral.
UAGGGAAUCUUCGGCAAUGGACGAAAGUCUGACCGAGCAACGCCGCGUGAGUGAAGAAGGUUUUCGGAUCGUAAAACUCUGUUGUUAGAGAAGAACAAGGACGUUAGUAACUGAACGUCCCCUGACGGUAUCUAACCAGAAAGCCACGGCUAACUACGUGCCAGCAGCCGCGGUAAUACGUAGGUGGCAAGCGUUGUCCGGAUUUAUUGGGCGUAAAGCGAGCGCAGGCGGUUUCUUAAGUCUGAUGUGAAAGCCCCCGGCUCAACCGGGGAGGGUCAUUGGAAUCUGGGAGACUUGAGUGCAGAAGAGGAGGGUGGAAUUCCAUGUGUAGCGGUGAAAUGCGUAGAUAUAUGGAGGAACACCAGUGGCGAAGGCGGCUCUCUGGUCUGUAACUGACGCUGAGGCUCGAAAGCGUGGGGAGCAAACAGG